UGCCUUUGUAGCUUAAUAGCAGAGCGUUGGUUCCAAAGAUGUAGGUGCAAUUCCUGCCAAGGCAA
RNAcentral lists this transfer RNA (65 nucleotides) under Clostridia bacterium. RNAcentral describes it as "tRNA-OTHER". It matches the Rfam family "tRNA". Rfam says of the family: Transfer RNA (tRNA) molecules are approximately 80 nucleotides in length. Their secondary structure includes four short double-helical elements and three loops (D, anti-codon, and T loops). Further hydrogen bonds mediate the characteristic L-shaped molecular structure. tRNAs have two regions of fundamental functional importance: the anti-codon, which is responsible for specific mRNA codon recognition, and the 3' end, to which the tRNAs corresponding amino acid is attached (by aminoacyl-tRNA synthetases). tRNAs cope with the degeneracy of the genetic code in two manners: having more than one tRNA (with a specific anti-codon) for a particular amino acid; and 'wobble' base-pairing, i.e. permitting non-standard base-pairing at the 3rd anti-codon position. Lineage: Bacteria; Bacillati; Bacillota; Clostridia. The record is from RNAcentral.